Long non-coding RNA from Carassius gibelio (silver crucian carp), 403 nucleotides. RefSeq lists it as uncharacterized. The transcript has 3 exons. Lineage: Eukaryota; Metazoa; Chordata; Actinopteri; Cypriniformes; Cyprinidae. The record is from RefSeq and is a predicted model, not a curated record.
GCUGAUUGCCAGAUGAGUGGUGGUGAUUUCUUUCUGGGAGACUGCAAUGAUGGUUUGUGCCAGCUUCGGAAAACAGUUGUCGUAGCUGGUGUUAGAUGGCAAUGAUGGUUUGUGCCAGAGUUGGAAAACUUGUAGCUGGUACUAGAUUAGCAUGAACAGCGUCUUAACUACAUGAAGGCUGAAGAAGGAAUUGAUGUUCCUGGUCUCCAGCCCUUCUCAGCCUAAACUCAUCAGGGUCCUGGGAUUGAAAGUUUCUCCUCCAGCCAUUUAUUUAACCUGAUCAUACGUCACAUCACUAGAUCCAGCCGCUGAAAAUGUGUCAAUUAAUAAAAAAUGCACAUUUGAAUUUUUGCAUAUUUAAUUUUAUUCUCAGAUUCUCAACAAUCCUUGUAUGCAGUUGUCA